This 1939-nucleotide long non-coding RNA is filed under the name Equus caballus (horse). RNAcentral describes it as "lncRNA (ENSECAG00000044419.1)". Lineage: Eukaryota; Metazoa; Chordata; Mammalia; Perissodactyla; Equidae. The record is from RNAcentral.
CUGUAAUUGCUGUGUUUACAACCUCCCACUCCCAUCCUCCCCAACUGUGCCCGUUUACCUGGGCUGCAUGGUGCCCGGUCUUUGUCAGGGAGAAACUCAGACCGGGGAGAAGCCGGGCUGGGUGCCCCCCUCUGCCCCACCCUCCGGCCUUGCCUUUCGGAGUGUAGGGGCAGCUUGCUGAGUGCUCACGACAUGGGCACCCGUGUGUAGUCACUGUAGCUGCUGGCAGGCCUGGCACCUGCAGCAGGACCCCAGCACACAACAGAUGUGCCUGGCACUGUGGGGUGGGGCUGGAGGCAUCCCGUGGGCUGCAGGGACCUGGCAGGAGCAUUGGUCGCCUGGUGAAGCUUGGGAAGAGGCCUCGGGUCAGCCGCAGGGUUUGGUGGCGACGGGGCCCAGGGCGCCGGCCUCAUGGGACACAGUGCUUGCUGGGCUGUGCCCCUGGCCGUGUGCUGAAAGCUCACUGCCGAAAGCGCAAGAGCCCAUUGGCCUUUGCUGGACCCUCCUCAGAGCUCCAGGAGCUGCGCCUCGCGGGGCAGCCUGUCUCCCGUUUGUCCUCAGCAAACCUCUGAGGCCUACAGGACGGCCCCACCUCUGCACUGGGCUGAGGUGACCACGGUCACACCUGCCUUUGGGGUUCAGCCAGCCCCUGGCUGGGGUCUGGGCGUAUUGCAGGUUGCCCCGGUGACCCCGAUCCUCUGUCUGCGGGGCCUUGCCCAGCUGCCUGCUGUGGCGCUGAAGUGGGACCCCACCUUCCCUUUGGGCCAAGGCAGGUUCCCAUUUGGGCCACCAGGCUGCUGGGGUGGACAGUGGGACACAGCCUGUCCCUCAGGGAUGGCACAUUCUCGUGCUGACCUGCAGGUGGCGCCCUUGUCCAGCGGGAGGCUGGCCUGGACCAUGGGGUGCUGCUUCGUCUUCGCUGCCCAGCCACUCUGAGGCUCAAAGGGAGAAGGGUAGGCCUGGGCCCUGUCUCGGAGAGACGCCGAAGUAGGGGUUCUCAGGAUCAGAAAGUUUGCCACCCCGCCCCAUUGAGGAACAUGGGGUGCUCCUGGGGUUGGCACUGAGGCACCCUCUUCCUGGGGGGAAGGAAGGGGCCCCUCCUUCAACCUGUGACACCCAGUGCCUCCCUGGCCCAGGUGCCCAAAAGUCCCAAAUCAUGGCUUCCUGGGGUCCCCAGAACCCUGACCAGCACCUCAGAGGAGGCCCGGCAAUCCCGGGCCAUCGCACCCCUCUACCACGCAGCACCUCUGCUCCCUCAUCUUGUCAACAAGCCUGGGGGAGCUCUCCCUGGGAUCAGACUCAUCACUCCCUGGACGGCUCAGCUCUCCGGAAGAGUGUAGGUUGCGUUGGAGGGGCUGUGACCCCUCCGAGCACCCUGACCGAAGGCCCAGCGCACAAAGAGCAGAGGGGAACAAGGUCUUGACUGAGCGGUGGACGGCCCUGGACACUUGGAACCUGUGCCUCCCAGGGGUCAGCAAGAGGACGGAGGCUGGACCAAGGACACAACCCCUGCCGGCCGGGCGGAAACCAUCCUAUCUGGAAUCCAGGCAUAAGUCAAGGAUCAGCACUGACGGGCCCAGGGCUGGCUCGGGGGUCCUCCCUGAACAGCCUCAACCCAGCUCAGCUGGCAGCCACCUACCACUGAGGUCAGAGGAGGGAGGGUUCAGCUGUGGCUCAGGGACAAGCCCUUUCCUGGCCUCUGAGUCCACAAGCCUGGGGUCCCUGCAGGACACUGCUCAGCCACCACAGCCCCUUCCAAGCUCAGGGGGCCUCUGGUCCCCACCCUCCCUCCACCCGACACUGAUAGCCCUUCCCAGACCAGUCAGCACCUGGUUUGCUCACACGCCGCCACAGCUGCGAGAAGCCUCUCGUGGCCUUCGUCCUGGUAAGCCCUUAACUGCCAAAUAAAUAUUUGUCUAGGGUGUGGCUUGGUGCUGAG